UGAUUUCAAAGAGUUUUAGACUCCUCUACUCUGCUUAAUUCACGGUAUAUCAGUGUGUGUGUUUGACCUAACUGCUUUUAAGUGGUCAGCAAUAGCACCUGCAAAAUGCUAAGCUCUUUCUCUCAAUUUUGGUAGAGUAUUGGGCCACUCCUCACAUACAAGAUGGUAUAGCCUGGUGUCCUGACCCUCUCCCUCUGUUCUUUAGCCUUCUGUCUAGCAAUGAUAAUUCAGAAUCUAUUUUCACUAGCAUAGGGAUUGAAAGCUUUGUGAUUUUGUUAUUUCUGGGUUACAUGCCCAAGUAGGCUUUUGCUCAUGAGAGAGUAGAACCUACGAGGUUUUCAAGACUGGAGCAAGCUUUCACAACUUGGAGCCAAAGUUCUAUGACACUGGAAAGAGCAAUGGAAAAAAACAGGGUAUACAGAUUAAAAGGUCAGAACACAUACUAUUUGAUCUUUUGGUCUUCUUAGAAGCUUCAAAGAACUCAAGAGCUGUAAAUAGAAGAUUGAGGAACCUGAUAAGAGGGACUCAUGAUGAAAAAUGCUAUCCCUAGCCAGUGAAGGAACUGUUGGAGCCUUAUUGCAGAUCAAAGCAUGGUAAAUUACACUUCAUUUCCUUCUUGAAGUUUCUUUUUUUUUAAUAUGUGUGAUAAGUGUAUUCUGCCAUUUAAUGAGUAAUGUGGAAAUAAAUAUGUCUUGAAUGAAAGUACUUGUAUAACC
This 716-nucleotide long non-coding RNA is filed under the name Monodelphis domestica (gray short-tailed opossum). Its description in RNAcentral is "lncRNA (ENSMODG00000040667.1)". The record is from RNAcentral. Lineage: Eukaryota; Metazoa; Chordata; Mammalia; Didelphimorphia; Didelphidae.